This 254-nucleotide ribosomal RNA is filed under the name uncultured bacterium. RNAcentral's name for it is "partial 16S ribosomal RNA". It matches the Rfam family "Bacterial small subunit ribosomal RNA", at positions 524 to 777 of the family's 1533-position model. The record is from RNAcentral.
UACGUAGGGGGCUAGCGUUGUCCGGAAUUACUGGGCGUAAAGGGCGCGUAGGCGGCCUGCUAAGUCGGACGUGAAAUCCCUCGGCUCAACCGGGGAACUGCGUCCGAUACUGGCGGGCUUGAAUCCGGGAGAGGAAUGCGGAAUUCCAGGUGUAGCGGUGAAAUGCGUAGAUAUCUGGAGGAACACCGGUGGCGAAGGCGGCAUUCUGGACCGGCAUUGACGCUGAUGCGCGAAAGCCAGGGGAGCAAACGGGG